GACGAACGCUGGCGGCGGGCUUAACACAUGCAAGUCGAACGGUGAAGCGCCUUCCUUUUUGGUGGGUGUGGAUGAGUGGCGAACGGGUGAGUAACACGUGAGUAACCUGCCCCCUUCUUCGGGAUAACCGCAUGAAAGUGUGGCUAAUACGGGAUAUUCUGGGUCUGUCGCAUGAUGGGUCUGGGAAAGAUAUUGUUUCGGUGGUGGAUGGGCUCGCCGCCUAUCAGCUUGUGGGUGGGGUGAUGGCCUACCAAGGCGGGGACGGGUAGCCGGCCUGGGCGGGUGGACGGGCACGUUGGAGCUGAGGAACGGCCAAGCCUGCUCCGGGAGGCAGCAGUGGGGACUACUGGACGCUGGGGGGAGGAAUGAUACAGCGACGCCGAGUGCGGGAUGGAGGCCUUCGGGUUGUGAACCUAUUUCGCCAGUGAUGCAGGCCUGUCUCGUCUGUGGGUGGGUUGACGGUAGCUGGAUAAGAAGCGCCGGCUAACUACGUG
This 494-nucleotide ribosomal RNA is filed under the name uncultured bacterium. RNAcentral describes it as "partial 16S ribosomal RNA". It matches the Rfam family "Bacterial small subunit ribosomal RNA", at positions 28 to 507 of the family's 1533-position model. The record is from RNAcentral.